CAGAUUUUGGGUGGAUUUUGAGCACACCUGACCAGAUUUUGGGUGGAUUUUGGUAAAUUUUGCAUGGAUUUGGGUGGAUUUUGGCAGAUUUUGGGUGGAUUUGAGCACACCUGACUGAAUUUUGGGUGGAUUUGAGCAGACCUGCCCACAUUUCUGAUUUAACCACACCUGCCCACAUUUUCAGCCAAUUUAACCAGAUUUUGCUCCAAUUUAACCACAAUUUGUUCCAAUUUAUCCACAUUUUGAGCCAAUUUCACCAUUUUGCUCCAAUUUAACCACACUUUGCUCCGAUUUAACCACAUUUUUAUCCAAUUUAACCACAUUUUUACCGAUUUACCCCCAUUUUGCACCCAUUUACCCACAUUUUGUGCCGAUUUAACCACACUUUGAUCAGAUUUAACCACAUUUUCCACCCAUUUACCCACAUUUUGUGGCGAUUUAACCACACUUUUCACCAAUUUACCCCCAUUUUCCACCCAUUUACCCACAUUUUGUGAUGGUUUAACCACAUUUUGAUGAGAUUUACCCCCAUUUUCCACCCAUUUACCCCCAUUUUCCACCCAUUUACCCCCAUUUUCCACCCAUUUACCCCCAUUUUCCACCCAUUUACCCAAUUUUCCACCCAUUUACCCCAUUUUCCACCGAUUCAACCACCCUUUGAUCAGAUUUAACCACAUUUUCCACCAAUUUACCCCCAUUUUCCACCCAUUU
RNAcentral lists this long non-coding RNA (711 nucleotides) under Chloebia gouldiae (Gouldian finch). Its description in RNAcentral is "Erythrura gouldiae (Gouldian finch) lncRNA (ENSEGOG00005018711.1)". The record is from RNAcentral. Lineage: Eukaryota; Metazoa; Chordata; Aves; Passeriformes; Passeridae.